Long non-coding RNA from Lycium ferocissimum, 1013 nucleotides. RefSeq lists it as uncharacterized. The transcript is spliced from 3 exons. The record is from RefSeq and is a predicted model, not a curated record. Lineage: Eukaryota; Viridiplantae; Streptophyta; Magnoliopsida; Solanales; Solanaceae.
CUACUAAAAAGAGAUUUCCCAAAUUGGAUUGACAACGUAGAAGUAUAUGAUCCUUUAAUGUCUCCAGCUGAUAUGCCAGUUUUCAGAAAACUGGGCUUUGAGGUUUUGACCAUUGAUGAAAAUUGUAAGAUGCAAGUUCGAAGACCAACAAUGUUCUAUAUGCCUGUUCCUAAUUAUUAUCUUAUCGGAAAUCUGCUGGGAGCGAACUGGUCUUCGUCUUGUAUUAAACAGAUUUUUCUAUUGACAAACUCUUUUUGCCGUUUGUUGACCAAUAUUUCACAAUGUAAUCGGAAUGGAGAAACAGUGCAACGGCUAGAGAGAAUUCUCCCCUUCACAAAGAGAUUGACAUAAAAACUAGCCAUGAGAAGAUCUAUACUAAUGUGUUUUCAAGAUUUGCUUGGCAUUUCUUUGAUGUGGGUCCCAACAUGGACAUGGAAACAUCACUCCCUUUGAAAAAGAUCACAUAACAUGAAAGAGAAGACGGAAAUCGACAUUGGUUGGAUUGGCAAAGGUAUGUUGAAGAAUCAUUUUUGGAAGAUAUGCAAAGUGAUAUGUCUAGUGAGGGAUUUGCGCAAUAUUUUGGUGAAUACCGUGGGCCUCGUCGUUUAAGAUGCAACGCAGUUCCUCCUCCAUCAGGUUGGAUUAAGCCAAAUGCUUAUGGGAUCGGUAAAGAAGGUGACCAGUCAGGACGAUAUAGUGGCAUCUUCCAAGAUAAUACUGGAAUGUGUUUAGGCAGGUAUAGUGGUACCAUUGAUGUUGAAGACAAUGUGAUUGUUGGACUGGAGGCCUUGAGGAAUGGGUUAGUCAGAUGUGUGGAAGGAAAACCGAAUGCACAGAAAUUGAUUGUGGUGUCUGAUAAUGUCAUACUCGUCCAAUAUGUAAAUGGUCACCCUGAGCCAAAUGAAAUAACCAUGUACAGGUUGAAAGAAAUUUUCAACCUGCUGGAACGUAUAACUUGUGUUGUUUACCAUGUGUAUGAAGAAGCCAAUGAAGCUGCUAGAGACCUGGCUCUG